RNAcentral lists this ribosomal RNA (232 nucleotides) under uncultured bacterium. RNAcentral describes it as "partial 16S ribosomal RNA". It matches the Rfam family "Bacterial small subunit ribosomal RNA", at positions 118 to 347 of the family's 1533-position model. The record is from RNAcentral.
UGAGCAAUCUGCCCUUCUCAUCGGAAUAAGCGUUGGAAACGACGUCUAAUGCCGAAUACGACCUCCUUUCGCAUGAUCGGAGGUGGAAAGCUCCGGCGGAGAAGGAUGAGCUCGCGGCCUAUCAGCUUGUUGGUGAGGUAAUAGCUCACCAAGGCGACGACGGGUAGCCGGCCUGAGAGGGUGACCGGCCACAUUGGGACUGAGACACGGCCCAAACUCCGUACGGGAGCAG